RNAcentral lists this small RNA (507 nucleotides) under Pan troglodytes (chimpanzee). Its description in RNAcentral is "retained intron". The record is from RNAcentral. Lineage: Eukaryota; Metazoa; Chordata; Mammalia; Primates; Hominidae.
UCAUGAGCCACAAACGGACGUCAUUGAGUGCAGAGGAUGCUGAGGUGACCAAAGCUUUUGAAGAAGAUAUAGAGACCCCACCAACAAGAAACAUUCCUUCUCCCGGACAGCUGGACCCAGACACACGGAUCCCUGUUAUCAAUCUUGAAGAUGGGACUAGGCUGGUGGGGGAAGAUGCUCCUAAAAAUAAGGAUUUAGUUGAAUGGCUGAAGCUGCACCCUACUUACACUGUUGAUAUGCCAAGUUAUGUACCAGUGAGUAUUGCAGAGUUUAGAGUUGGAAGGAAUCUUGCAGGCCGGUCCACUUCAUUCCCUUACAACACAGAAAUCCCUGACAGCUGGUCCCUCUGCCUUUUCCUUGAAUGUUUCCUGGUCUCAAACAUUUCCCAGGUCUUUGUUGUUGAAUCUUCUUCAUUGCAGAUACUAGCUUCAGGUCUGUCUUACUGAAGGCAGCCUUACAGUUAUUUGAAGAUGCGCGUUAUGCAUUUCCUUACUGUUUGCUUCUCCC